RNAcentral lists this ribosomal RNA (410 nucleotides) under uncultured archaeon. RNAcentral describes it as "bacterial SSU rRNA". It matches the Rfam family "Archaeal small subunit ribosomal RNA", at positions 509 to 924 of the family's 1478-position model. The record is from RNAcentral.
CCUAAAGCAUCCGUAGCUGGCUAAGUUAGUCCCUUGUUAAAUCCACCGAAUUAAUCGUUGGAUUGCGGGGGAUACUGCUUGGCUAGGGGACGAGAGAGGCAGACGGUAUUUUCGGGGUAGGGGUGAAAUCCUAUAAUCCCGGGAAGACCACCAGUGGCGAAGGCUGUCUGCUAGAACGCGCCCGACGGUGAGGGAUGAAAGCUGGGGGAGCGAACCGGAUUAGAUACCCGGGUAGUCCCAGCUGUAAACGAUGCAGGCUAGGUGUUUGGACGGCCACGUGCCGUUCUAGUGCCGCAGGGAAGCUGUUAAGCCUGCCGCCUGGGGAGUACGAUCGCAAGAUUGAAACUUAAAGGAAUUGGCGGGGGAGCACGGGGCGGGGGCGGCGGGCCGGGCGCGGGGCGCGGCGGGCG